GAGUUUGAUCCUGGCUCAGAACGAACGCUGGCGGCAUGCCUAACACAUGCAAGUCGAACGGGAUCCAGGCUUCGGCCUGGUGAGAGUGGCGGACGGGUGAGUAACGCGUGGGAACCUGCCCAAUGGUCUGGGAUAACCGCGGGAAACUGCGGCUAAUACCGGAUAAGCCCGAGAGGGGAAAGAUUUAUCGCCGAUGGAGGGGCCCGCGUCCGAUUAGGUAGUUGGUGAGGUAACGGCUCACCAAGCCGACGAUCGGUAGCUGGUCUGAGAGGAUGAUCAGCCACACUGGGACUGAGAUACGGCCCAGACUCCUACGGGAGGCAGCAGUGGGGAAUAUUGGACAAUGGGGGCAACCCUGAUCCAGCAAUGCCGCGUGAGUGAUGAAGGCCUUAGGGUUGUAAAGCUCUUUUGGCGGGACGAUGAUGACGGUACCCGCAGAAUAAGCCCCGGCUAACUUCGUG
RNAcentral lists this ribosomal RNA (461 nucleotides) under uncultured Alphaproteobacteria bacterium. RNAcentral describes it as "bacterial SSU rRNA". It matches the Rfam family "Bacterial small subunit ribosomal RNA", at positions 9 to 507 of the family's 1533-position model. Lineage: Bacteria; Pseudomonadati; Pseudomonadota; Alphaproteobacteria. The record is from RNAcentral.